GCAGGCGUAGUUCAAUGGCUAGAACACCGGCCUUCAGAUCCGGUAAUGUGGGUUCGAUUCCUGUCGCCUGUG
Molecule: non-coding RNA, 72 nt
Organism: Mycoplasmataceae bacterium CE_OT135
Lineage: Bacteria; Bacillati; Mycoplasmatota; Mollicutes; Mycoplasmatales; Mycoplasmataceae
Source: Rfam